RNAcentral lists this ribosomal RNA (356 nucleotides) under uncultured Latescibacterota bacterium. Its description in RNAcentral is "bacterial SSU rRNA". It matches the Rfam family "Bacterial small subunit ribosomal RNA", at positions 1027 to 1382 of the family's 1533-position model. The record is from RNAcentral. Lineage: Bacteria; Pseudomonadati; Candidatus Latescibacterota.
GACCUGCACAGGUGCUGCAUGGCUGUCGUCAGCUCGUGUCGUGAGAUGUUGGGUUAAGUCCCGCAACGAGCGCAACCCUUAUCCCUAGUUGCCAUCAGGUAAAGCUGGGAACUCUGGGGAGACUGCCGGUGAUAAACCGGAGGAAGGCGGGGAUGACGUCAAGUCCUCAUGGCCCUUACAUCCCGGGCUACACACGUGCUACAAUGGCAGGUACAGAGGGCUGCGAAGCCGCGAGGUGGAGCGAAUCCCAGAAAACCUGUCUCAGUCCGGAUUGAAGUCUGCAACUCGACUUCAUGAAGGCGGAAUCGCUAGUAACCGCGAAUCAGCAGGUCGCGGUGAAUACGUUCCCGGGCCUU